UGAAUACAUGUUUGUUUUAUUUGUCUAUAUCUUAGAUUCGCAGCUGGACACAUCCUUCUACACUGUAUGCAAACAUGCAACAUCAUUACACACAGUACAAGGAGUCAGACUGGCAUAUGAGGAGCAAAGGAACCCAGGCAGUAGCAUCGUUUCACAAUGUUUCCAUCACCAUCAUCAGUGGAUGCCUUUGCCGUCCGUAGCCUGAGAUUUCAGAUUUGCAGCAAAUUUUUUUUGAUUUUCUCAUUUAUUGGAAUGCUGUGCAGGUAUUUGUACCUUGCAGCCAUCCAUUACAAUGUCACCAAGCCGUAACAAAAGCAGGAGAGGGAAAGUACA
Paramisgurnus dabryanus is the source of this 333-nucleotide non-coding RNA. Lineage: Eukaryota; Metazoa; Chordata; Actinopteri; Cypriniformes; Cobitidae. The record is from RefSeq and is a predicted model, not a curated record.